Molecule: long non-coding RNA, 556 nt
Filed under: Pan troglodytes (chimpanzee)
Lineage: Eukaryota; Metazoa; Chordata; Mammalia; Primates; Hominidae
Description: lincRNA
Source: RNAcentral
GCCUACUUUUUAUGUCCAUUCCUACGGCUGCAGGGCCAUGUCCUGUGAUUGGCAGCUCCUCAGAACCACAUGGAGUGGAAGAGCUGUUCCUAGAAAUAGGGUGCUUGUUAUUCUGAGAGGACAAGAAUGACAGCCACGUCAUCUGGAGAAGGCAGCCAGGGAAGUUGUUGGCCAAGCUUUGCUGGCUUUUUUGCAGCUUUCUGUUCCAGCAAGUUACUCCCCCAAAUCCUACCUAUUUUAAAAGCAACUCUCACAGGAAGAAAGGCUUGGCAGCCAACAGAUGACCACCACAUUCUCUCCCCCAAGACGUCUGAUUUCAGAAGGCAAAAAUUCAAGAAUGAAUAUUUACUGCCUAUAUCUGAUAGAAGAAUCCCAUUUCUCAUGAGAAAAUCAAUGGAUAAUACUCAGCGUUUCUUCAAAACCAAAACUUCCUUUAUCAAAACCUGUAGAACACAGGUUUCAGCAAACUUCGUUAAAUAUUCAGAUCAAAUUUGGAUUUGUUAUUGAUUUUCAGGGGGAUUAAUCUCUUUUAUAUUAAAAGCUCAUUUGGUCACAA